This 203-nucleotide ribosomal RNA is filed under the name uncultured bacterium. Its description in RNAcentral is "partial 16S ribosomal RNA". The record is from RNAcentral.
UACGUAGGGGUGCAAGCGUUUGUCCCGGGAAUUUAUUUGGGGGCGUAAAAGAGCUCGUAGGCGGGUCUGUCGCGUCUGCUGUGAAAAAAAACUCAGGGGCUUUAACCCCCUGAGCUUUGCAGUGGGGUACGGGGGCAGACUAGAGUGCGGGUAGGGGGGGGGAGACUUGGAAUUUCCUGGGUGUAGCGGGUUGAAAAUGCGCA